AGGCUGCAACUCGCCUACACGAAGCUGGAAUCGCUAGUAAUCGCGGAUCAGCACGCCGCGGUGAAUACGUUCCCGGGCCUUGUACACACCGCCCGUCACACCAUGAGAGUCUGUAACACCCAAAGCCGGUGGGAUAACCUUUAUAGGAGUCAGCCGUCUAAGGUAGGACAGAUGAUUAGGGUGAAGUCGUAACAAGGUAAC
RNAcentral lists this ribosomal RNA (201 nucleotides) under uncultured bacterium. Its description in RNAcentral is "partial 16S ribosomal RNA". It matches the Rfam family "Bacterial small subunit ribosomal RNA", at positions 1302 to 1500 of the family's 1533-position model. The record is from RNAcentral.